GCGAACCGAGUCGUACAUGCCGUGCGGUCCGCUACGCAGUUACGUAGCUGCGCGGCUACGACGCUACGAGUUUGCCGAACUUUAACUUUCCUUGGUGAUUGUGUAGUGAGUGCUAUUUAGGAUACGGACAUCUUAAUGGUGACAGCGAAGCAGCAUCAUGUUCCACAUUACCCUGAUCUUCCUCACCUCAGUGUUCAACACAGGCGUGUGGUCGGACGGGCUGUCGCGCAUGGGGCCCGUGUUCACGGAGGAGCCGCCGGCGCUGGUUCGCUUCGCGCGCACGGCGGGCGCGCGCGUGGCGUGCGCGGCGC
Molecule: long non-coding RNA, 311 nt
Organism: Zerene cesonia (dogface butterfly)
Lineage: Eukaryota; Metazoa; Arthropoda; Insecta; Lepidoptera; Pieridae
Exons: 3
Source: RefSeq, a predicted model, not a curated record